GGUUCAUCUUAAUUAUUUCCUCAUACUAAGACCCAUCUUUGACAAUUUGAUUCUACCUUAGAGCAACUGCUAUCAAAACAAGGCAGAUAUAAUUUUCUGCAAUACUUAAAUGAAAAGAACUUGAACAAAUCACCAUUCACUAUACCAUAGCCAAUAGAUAUUUAAAGGAUUCUACUUAAAGUCGAUCAACACAAUCAGCACCUACAUAUUAAAGGAGAGUAUUUAGUGUGAAAAUUUAAAUGUUCCAUACAUACAUGUCUUGUC
RNAcentral lists this unclassified non-coding RNA (264 nucleotides) under Hevea brasiliensis (rubber tree). The record is from RNAcentral. Lineage: Eukaryota; Viridiplantae; Streptophyta; Magnoliopsida; Malpighiales; Euphorbiaceae.